This 102-nucleotide transfer RNA is filed under the name Acrocarpospora corrugata. RNAcentral describes it as "tRNA-Ser". Lineage: Bacteria; Bacillati; Actinomycetota; Actinomycetes; Streptosporangiales; Streptosporangiaceae. The record is from RNAcentral.
CCUGCGGGUGGUCCAGGCCGGGCGGGUGCGCGGGCUGGAAACCGGCGACGCGGCGGCGGGUGAGGCAGAAACGGCGGUUCACGCGGCCACCUCCGCCGGUCC